UACGUAGGGACCGAGCGUUGUCCGGAAUCAUUGGGCGUAAAGAGCGUGUAGGCGGCCACUUAAGUCCUGCGUGAAAUCUUGCGGCUCAACCGCAAGCGGUCGUGGGAAACUGGGUGGCUAGAGUGCGGGAGAGGAGAGUGGAAUUCCUGGUGUAGCGGUGGAAUGCGCAGAUAUCAGGAGGAACACCAGUGGCGAAGGCGGCUACCUGGACCAGCAUUGACACUCAAGCACGAAAGCGUGGGGAGCAAACAGG
Molecule: ribosomal RNA, 253 nt
Filed under: uncultured bacterium
Lineage: Bacteria
Description: partial 16S ribosomal RNA
Rfam family: Bacterial small subunit ribosomal RNA
Source: RNAcentral